RNAcentral lists this ribosomal RNA (354 nucleotides) under uncultured fungus. RNAcentral's name for it is "SSU rRNA". It matches the Rfam family "Eukaryotic small subunit ribosomal RNA", at positions 20 to 370 of the family's 1831-position model. The record is from RNAcentral. Lineage: Eukaryota; Fungi.
GUAGUCAUAUGCUUGUCUCAAAGAUUAAGCCAUGCAUGUCUAAGUACAUACCUUUGCACGGUGAAACCGCGAAUGGCUCAUUAAAUCAGUUAUGGUUCCUUAGAUCGUUCAUAUUACAUGGAUAACUGUGGUAAUUCUAGAGCUAAUACAUGCAAAAAGCUCCGACCGUAUGGGAAGAGCGCUUUUAUUAGACCAAAACCAAUGGGGUCGCAAGAUCCCUUUGUAUGGUGACUCUGGAUAACUUUGUGCCGAUCGCAUGGCCUCGAGCCGGCGACGUAUCUUUCAAAUGUCUGCCCUAUCAACUUUCGAUGGUAAGCGAUUUGCCUACCAUGGUUGCAACGGGUAACGGGGAAU